CUGAAUACUCAUUUAGAUGGCAAGUCUAUGAGUCCUAAGUUAGUUCUUAACUGGUAGUUAGUACAGUUACCAGUAGUUAGCAGGUAAGUUAGUUUGGCUAACAAACAAAUAACAGGUCAGCUACACUCGCAGAGGAUAAGGUAGCAAGUAAGCUAAGGUCUGCUAGGGUGGCUGGGUAAGGGCCAAAUUAGCUAGGCUAGGACUGAGUGCAGCUACUUGGUAGGGUGGCUGAGUAGGGGUCAAGCAGAGGUUAGAGGGUUAACAGUAGAAGAAGCUAAGCUCAGCCAUAAAAGGCCAAGCUCAUUACCGAAAACCAAUUAGCUUCAUCACUUAGCAGAGGCCCAAAAGAAAUAACAGUAGAGUGAAAGUGAAGAGUUCGGUUUAAGAAGGAGGAGGAACUGUGCAGCUCCAAUCACUUGUGACCUUUGAAUCAACAAGUAAGUUCAAUCUAACCUUCCUAAACCUUUCGUCCCUGUUUCUCUAAAGAGUAGCAACCGAGCUGUAAAUGGUUAGAUGAUUAGGUGGCUUUGAUUUAAUUAACAUAAUGACUGUUUUAAUUGCUAUGUGAGCUACUGUGAUUAAGACUGCUGAGUUUGGUUAAUAGCUUCUUGUGCUAAGAGAAUAUGUAAUAUAUGCAUAUAGCUAGACUACCCACCAUCUGUUUGAUAAACUGCCAAACUAAGGACUGAUGUAGCAUCUAUGUAUACUAACUGUGAUUUUGAGUUCAAACUCUGUCAAAAUUUCCUAUACAGUGGGAGCAAUACCUCAAGCAUACUCUAUAAUUGACCUUAUCAGGUUUCAAUAUAAAUUGCACCCUAUGGUAACUUAACAAUUGUGCAAAGCAAGUAUGAAUAAACUGAAAUAGUGAGUUCCAUAGGGACUGUUGUUGGAAGCUUGAUUUGUAACAACUACUACUUGUUCUAAUAUGAUUAGUAUAUUAUAACAUGAUACUAGUAAAGCUUAAGCAAGAUAUGAUUCAAGGAUCUAAAGCCAGUCCUUGUGACUAUGGUUAAAAGCUUUCUUAUAAUAUCUACAAUUUUCCCCUAACCUGGCUGUUAUGUUAUAAAUGAGGAUAAUUACAUCAAGCUUUAAACUAAUUUUGAUGAUACUUUAAAAGCCUCAUUUGUGUGUUUUUUUUCCUAAAAAGGUUGAUGGUGGACUGUCUAUGUGUAAGCUAAGAUAGGCCAUCCGAAUGAAAGCUAUACCUAUUAGAUGAUAUAUAAAUAACCAGUUUUGGGUACUUGUUGCUUAAUCAUGUUAGCUUAGUAACUGAAUUUUUCAAAUCAUAUUAUCUAGUACCAAGAGGGACUGUUUUGGCCUAAAACAUGAAAACCUUACUGUUAGAUGUUUUAAACUAUGAAAAUAUAAUAUGUAAGAGGUUCAUGCUUUAGAAAUACAGAGAUCUCAUUCCUUGGUAUUGUUUUGAUGCAAAGGGUAUUAAACCAUGUCUAUAAUACUCUAUAUAGACUGUUUUGAUGAUGUAUUACUGAACCUUGCCUCUGUAGUUCUAAUAUAAACUCAAAGACUGUUAUAUGGAUUUUUGAAUUGCUAUGUAAACUAUUGUAGGAUCUAAUUGAAUGACAUGCUAUGUUGCUAUCAUGACUGACUGUUAACAUGAUAGGUGUUGAUAUAUUAAGUUGUUGUGUUAACUUUACUGCUAUGCUAUGGCUAUGAUAGUAUGGACUGAACUUAGGCACAAGGAGCUAAGUUGGGCUGAGGAGUAAUAAGGAGGAUAAAAUUGGCUUUCUUACACAAGCAAAUGUCUAUGACACAUAUAAUUUGAGACUGUGCACACCACAUGCUCGACGAAAGUCCCAAGUGGACUGCCUUAACAAAAAUCAAUUAGUAAGCCAACAUAAGGCUGGGAAUUGAUUUUGUAUUUCAAGUAAUGAAAAAUUGAAAUGUAUAGGCACACUAAAUAGAAGUCUUAGCUAAAAAUCAAAUGUGAAAUAUUUAUCAUGUCAAGUCCUUGGGCACACUGUUUUUAAGCAGCUGUGAAGGUUCAGGACAGGAGCUUGGCAUAAUUAUUAGUAGUUGAUGUCAUGCCUAGAUUAUACCACUGUUAGGCUAAUGAUUAACUUGGGUUGCAAAACUUUUAAAAUAUAACAAAGUGAGAGAUGGGAAAGGCUUAAGAACUGCUGUCUAUGACAGCAGUGACUGCCACAGCCCACAGAUAAAAAGAAUCUAGAAUGCUAGGGGUUAAAAGUAAAAGAAUUCAGUUAAAUCCCUGCCCAUUUGUUUAGUUACUGCAGUUGAUGAAGCAUGAUUACAUGUGACUGCAGCACUUGUAGCAGACCAAACAGCUUAUGGUAAUAGGUAUGCAAGAAAAUAAUAGUUGGCAGUGCAGUCAUACAUAGAAAAAAAUUAAUGGGAUAUCAAGUUAAAGAAGAAUGGCAGAACUGCUGCUCAUUUGUGGCAGCAGUUGCCAAGUUAGCAGCUGCAAUAGCAGCUUUAUGUUUGACUUAGGGGCUGUGAGGCCAAGCAAGGCCACACCCAGCUUAACUGAGCCUCACAAGGCCAAGCCAAGCUUGGCUGCUAGCACAGAAAAGCAACAAGAAGACUGUGGAAUGUGAACUGAGCAUGCUUUCUUUUAUUUUCUGUUAGCUGCAGUUAGUAAGAUAAAUUUUUUAAGGGAAGCUAUAAACUAAACAAGGCCAAAAUGAAGGGGACUGCUGCCUAGGAGCAGCAGCAGUUGAUGUCAAGUGACUGCUAAAGCAGUCUACUAACCACUUUGGUAGAGAAUUGAAAUCUUCAAAAAGCUAAUCAAAUGAUGUAGUUUGAGUAGGUGUUGUAAACAUAUAUGUAGACUUUAUAGUAUGCUUAUAAGUUGAGAAGGAAAAUGUGAUAAAGAGGAAGUUAUGUGACUGCUUAGAAGUGGCCUCAAGUAACUGCUAUUGCAGUGAUAGGCUUGCCAAAUUCAGUUAAAGCUAAGAAUAACUUAAACUACAUUAAGCUCCUUAUUGUCAAAACACAGGAAAAUGUUAUGGUAGUUUUAAAUUAGCUAAUUGGCCUUGAAAUUAAAAUGUGAAGAAUUAGGCAUAGAAGGAUAUUGGAAAUACCUUUAAUAAGCUACAAAAGCAUUUUUGUAUGCUAGAACUAAAACACUCAUGUGUUAAAAUCCUAAUAAGAUAUAAGCUAUAUAUAUGUUGUGUGGCACCAUUAAAAAGAAAAAUGGUGAAGAUAAGAACAUGGAUGAGAUAUUUGAAAAAUGUGUUAAAUAUAAGAAAUCUAUCCAUGACUACUAACAUGUUUGAUUAAUGCAAAUAAUGACUGUAAUAUGAUUCCUAUUACUUGUUGUAAGCAUGUCGAACCCCAUCAUGGAUAAGAUAUUUGAAAAAUGUAUCAAAAAAUAAGAAUUUAAUUACAACCAUGAUCACUGAAAUUAUGUGAUAUGUGAGCUUACAAACUAUAUAACUUAGCUAUGUGAUUAACAUGCUUGUUGAUAUAAAUAACUGUGUAGGAUUUUGUGAGAACACUUCAAUUAAGUUGAAAUCCUAACAAUAGACUACAAACAAGGUAAGUUUCUAACUCGUAUUCUUUAUUGAGCAAUUAUUUUGCAGUGGACAGGUUCUUUAAUUUCUGAACGGUCUGUCCUUAUUUAUGAAUAAUAUAAGGUUAAAUAGCCUUUUUAUUCCAAUCAGCUUCAAAAGAAUAGAAUAUCAACUUUACAAUCUUGAAUGAGUUUACAUUGAAAGUAUGUCAAUACCAUUACUUCGGUUAGACAAUUGUUGAGAUAUAUUGAUAUUAUUCAUGAAGUUAUCAGUUAAUGUUUUCCAAACCAUUUUGUUAUGGUAUGGAUUCUUAUAUAAUGCUGUGAACGAACAACCCUUUUAUAGGGGAAUAUUGUACCGGACAUAUGAUUCUGAAGGACAUGUAAAGUGUCAUUAGACUGUUAUGUUGUGCACAAUAUAGGGUACUUAGGCUGAUCCCCUAAAGUACGAGUCUAGGAUAUAAAACAGCUUUUAUAAACUGUAUGUAUCCAUGGAUUGUAGUAUUAUUACUGUCAAUUCUAGUAAAGAGUUCACUGGUCAUUUGACCUUACAGUAUGCUAAAGUCUAAUUUUUCAGACUCUAACACUUUUAAAGAAUUAUCUUGUUCAAUAUUUAUUAUUGAAUCCUCAUUGAUAUAAUAUUUCUGUUCCAUUAUAUUUAGCUGCUUAUUUCCUUGCUGAGCAAGCUUGUUGCUCAUCCUUGCGUUAAAUAUAAUGUUUUCAGUUAAGAAUGAAGUUGUUGGUCCAUCUGGAAAAGACAAAGGAAAGGGCAAAGUUGUUGAAUAUUCUUUUAUUAAGCGCAUGUGCUUAUUUAAGUAGUAAAUGUAAUAAAUACUGUUAGUACUAUGUUGUGUAAUGAUAUUCGAUUCAUAAGUUAUGUAAAGGUCUAUAGAACCUGGGAUUUAUGUUAUGUAAUAUAAGAUAGUUUUCUUUUAAUAUGAAUGGGUAUAUUAGUAUUGUGAGCACCAAACUCGAGUUAAAGAUAUCGAGUUAAAGAUAACCCGGAUUUUUAUUGGGGGCGUCAUCACUUUUAAUGAGUGAUGGACAAUAAGUUUUAGAUCAAUAUUCGCAGCGGAAAUAACAAUUCAUUA
Molecule: long non-coding RNA, 4581 nt
Filed under: Panax ginseng (ginseng)
Lineage: Eukaryota; Viridiplantae; Streptophyta; Magnoliopsida; Apiales; Araliaceae
Description: long non-coding RNA (PGIN_LNC004950)
Source: RNAcentral